CGGCGGACGGGUGAGUAACGCGUGGGUAACCUGCCUCAUACAGGGGGAUAACAGUUAGAAAUGACUGCUAAUACCGCAUAAGACCACGGUACCGCAUGGUACAGUGGUAAAAAAUCCGGUGGUAUGAGAUGGACCCGCGUCUGAUUAGGUAGUUGGUGGGGUAACGGCCUACCAAGCCGACGAUCAGUAGCCGACCUGAGAGGGUGACCGGCCACAUUGGGACUGAGACACGGCCCAG
RNAcentral lists this ribosomal RNA (238 nucleotides) under uncultured bacterium. Its description in RNAcentral is "partial 16S ribosomal RNA". It matches the Rfam family "Bacterial small subunit ribosomal RNA", at positions 96 to 334 of the family's 1533-position model. The record is from RNAcentral.